CCUUUCGGGGGACGAAGUAGAGUGGCGUCCGGGUGAGUAACACGUGAGUAAUUUGCCUUCGGGUGGGGAAUAACAGCCGGAAACGGCUGCUAAUACCGCAUGAUGCAGCGGCACCUCAUGGUGACAGUUGUUAAAGCGGGGGAUUCUUCGGAACCUCGCGCCUGAAGAGAAGCUCGCGGCAGAUUAGCUAGUUGGUAGGGUAACGGCCUACCAAGGCAACGAUCUGUAGCCGGCCUGAGAGGGCGGUCGGCCACACUGACACUGACACACGGGUCAGACUCCUACGGGAGGCAGCAGUCGGGAAUUUUGGGCAAUGGGCGAAAGCCUGACCCAGCAACGCCGCGUGAAGGAUGAAGUAUUUCGGUAUGUAAACUUCACAAGAAUGGGAAGAAUAAGUCGGGGUUAAUACCCCCGAUGAUGACGGUACCAUUUGUAAGCUCCGGCUAACUCCGUGCCAGCAGCCGCGGUAAUACGGGGGGAGCAAGCGUUGUUCGGAUUUACUGGGCGUAAAGGGCGCGUAGGCGGCGCAACAAGUCACUUGUAAAAUCUCCGGGCUUAACCCGGAGCGGUCAAGUGAUACUGUCGUGCUAGAGUGCGGAAGGGGCAACUGGAAUUCUCGGUGUAGCGGUGAAAUGCGUAGAUAUCGAGAGGAACACCUGCGGCGAAGGCGGGUUGCUGGGCCGACACUGACGCUGAAGCGCGAAAGCCAGGGGAGCGAAC
RNAcentral lists this ribosomal RNA (720 nucleotides) under uncultured bacterium. RNAcentral's name for it is "bacterial SSU rRNA". It matches the Rfam family "Bacterial small subunit ribosomal RNA", at positions 76 to 773 of the family's 1533-position model. The record is from RNAcentral.